Molecule: long non-coding RNA, 934 nt
Organism: Ipomoea triloba (trilobed morning glory)
Lineage: Eukaryota; Viridiplantae; Streptophyta; Magnoliopsida; Solanales; Convolvulaceae
Exons: 2
Source: RefSeq, a predicted model, not a curated record
GUCAUUUCUGGUGCUCUAAUCGAAGGAGUUUCGUUCGCUAGGGCUCUGGCAGUCAGUUCUAGUGCUCGGAUGAGUGAGAAAGGGAAGGCAAAGAAGUGGAGACUCAAGAGAGAGUGGAGCCAAAGGCACCUGCUGCCAAGCCUCCCAAUUGCAUUAGUAAGUGGAAUAAAAGCAGGCAAUCAAUCUGAGGUUGCAGGGGCACCUCCAACUGCGAAGCCUACUGGAAUAGAGUCAUGCAAACAAGUUGUUUGUGAAAAUGCCAAGGAAUUUGCCUAAAUCCUCUGUUCGCCGAAGCCUGCGCUGAGAAGAAGAACAACUGGAAACAGAGGAGGGAGAUACCGCCACCAUUCGCAGUCGAGGAGUCCAUGCCGCUGCUACUGUUGAUCUGCUGAACCUACCAGAGAUUCCAGCACCGUCGUUGCUGCCUUGCGUUGCCGAAAUCAGAGGAACAAAGCUCUCACGGUCCUGCCUCACCCGUCGGAAAGGACCUUUUGUGCUACCGUCGGAGUGCUCGUCGCCAGGAAAAGGGAGAACAGGGGACGCCAUUGUCGAAAUUGCUGCUGCAGCUCCGUUCGUCGAAGGAGAAACAACCCACGCUGGAGAGCGAGGUACAAAGAGACGAGAGGGUGAGGAGGUCGCUGGCUUCUAAGCCUCGGUCGGAGGAGACGACCACGUCUAAAAACUAGAGGAUGCCGCAAGAAGUUCAUCUCGUCGCUGCCGCUCUGCCUAGCCACCGUCAUUGCCUAUUGUUUCUAUCAAACUGCUUGACGGGAGGGAGAAAAGAAGAGCUCCGGGAGUGAAGAAAAUUAGAUUGAAUUUUGCUAAAUUGACAUAAAUGCCCCUCAUUUAGACUGUUAACUAACGACAUGAUAAAUGGAGGACUAAAAGUGACCUCGUCACGAUAAGUGUUUCAAUAAAUUGUCCAAAAUUUGUA